UGUGAGGGCAAGGUGGCUGUGACAUCUGUCGCCCCAUUGAUGACCAGGGUUGAUUAGCCUGAUCCAACAGGCUAGGUGUGUAUCCCCUCACUCCCUCACCACUCCAUGUGUGUGCCCUCCUGAAGCUGUGCACUCAGCUGACAAUCUUCCCUAAAUAGACGAGGACCAACCUUUAGUCAAGUGUAUAUAAGUAGCUGUACUCCCCUGCUAGAACCUCCAAACAAGCGCUAAAGAGUUCUAAGUUCUACCAACUUCUUGUAUUUGCAAGUAAAGUUUUAUUGUAACACAAUUGUGUUCAUUUGUU
This 304-nucleotide small nuclear RNA is filed under the name Microtus ochrogaster (prairie vole). RNAcentral describes it as "7SK RNA (ENSMOCG00000005995.1)". It matches the Rfam family "7SK RNA". From Rfam's summary of the family: 7SK was discovered as an abundant small nuclear RNA in the mid-70s but a possible function has only recently been suggested. Two independent studies have found that 7SK RNA binds the CDK9/cyclin T complex (known as elongation factor P-TEFb). The record is from RNAcentral. Lineage: Eukaryota; Metazoa; Chordata; Mammalia; Rodentia; Cricetidae.